Molecule: ribosomal RNA, 472 nt
Filed under: uncultured bacterium
Lineage: Bacteria
Description: partial 16S ribosomal RNA
Rfam family: Bacterial small subunit ribosomal RNA
Source: RNAcentral
GACGAACGCUGGCGGCGUGCUUAACACAUGCAAGUCGAACGGGAGUAUCGAAGAAGCUUGCUUUAGAGAUACUUUAGUGGCGGACGGGUGAGUAACGCGUGAGGAGCUGUCCUAUGCAGGGGGACAACAGUUGGAAACGACUGCUAAUACCCCAUAAGCCGAGAGGUAAAAGGAUUUAUCCGGCAGAGGAGGUACUCGCGUCCUAUCAGCUAGUAGGUGAGGUAACGGCUCACCUAGGCGAAGACGGGUAGCCGGCCUGAGAGGGCGAACGGCCACACUGGAACUGAGAUACGGUCCAGACUCCUACGGGAGGCAGCAGUGGGGAAUAUUGGGCAAUGGGGGGAACCCUGACCCAGCGACGCCGCGUGGGUGAAGAAAUCCUUCGGGAUGUAAAGCCCUGUUGUAUGGGAAGAGCGGAAGACGGUACCAUACGAGGAAGCCCCGGCAAACUACGUGCCAGCAGCCGCCGUAA